UGGGGAAUCUUGCGCAAUGGGCGAAAGCCUGACGCAGCGACGCCGCGUGCGGGAAGAAGGCCUUCGGGUUGUAAACCGCUUUCAGGAGGGACGAGGCCACUCGGGUUAAUAGCCUAGAGGGUGACGGUACCUCCAGAAGAAGCCCCGGCUAACUACGUGCCAGCAGCCGCGGUAAUACGUAGGGGGCUAGCGUUGUCCGGAUUUAUUGGGCGUAAAGAGCGCGUAGGCGGCCGAGUAAGUCCGACGUGAAAUCUGGAGGCUCAACCUCCAGCGGUCGUUGGAAACUACUCGGCUAGAGUCCGGAAGAGGAGAGUGGAAUUCCUGGUGUAGCGGUGAAAUGCGCAGAUAUCAGGAAGAACACCGAUGGCGAAAGCAGCUCUCUGGGACGGUACUGACGCUGAGGCGCGAAAGCGUGGGGAGCGAACAGGAUUAGAUACCCUGGUAGUCCACGCCGUAAACGAUGGGUGCUAGGUGUGGGCGGUGUCGACUCCGCCCGUGCCGAAGCUAACG
RNAcentral lists this ribosomal RNA (510 nucleotides) under uncultured Actinomycetes bacterium. RNAcentral's name for it is "bacterial SSU rRNA". It matches the Rfam family "Bacterial small subunit ribosomal RNA", at positions 355 to 857 of the family's 1533-position model. Lineage: Bacteria; Bacillati; Actinomycetota; Actinomycetes. The record is from RNAcentral.